Long non-coding RNA from Nycticebus coucang (slow loris), 447 nucleotides. RefSeq lists it as uncharacterized. The transcript is spliced from 3 exons. The record is from RefSeq and is a predicted model, not a curated record. NCBI's taxonomy places the organism in Eukaryota, Metazoa, Chordata, Mammalia, Primates, Lorisidae.
AGAAUCAUUACUAAAACAGUAAAUAAAUGACCUUGUAAAACGGAAGAUUGCAGUAGAUGAAGAAAAUGCUUUUUUAAGGAAAGAAUUCAGUGACUUGGAGAAGAAAUUUAAAGAUAAAAGUCAAGAAGUUAAGGACACAAAGGAGUGUGUACAGAAUAAAGAAGAGCAAAACAGACUAGUUAUAAAAAAUCUGAAGGAGGAAAAUGAGAAAUUAAGUACCCGCUGCACUGACUUGCUAAAUGACCUGGAGAAACUGAGGAAGCAAGAAGCACACUGGAGAAAAGAAAAAUACAGCAUUGAUGCAAAAAUAAAGGCCUUUGAAGACAGUUUAUUUGAAGCAAAGAAAGAAAUUGAAAUAUCACAGAGUAAAUAUAAUGCCUUAUCAUUACAAUUGAAUAAUAAACAGACUGAACUUAUUCAAAAGGAUAUGGAUAUUACCCUGGUCAG